AUUGAACGCUGGCGGCAUGCUUUACACAUGCAAGUCGAACGGUAACAGGGUGCUUGCACCGCUGACGAGUGGCGAACGGGUGAGUAAUGCGUCGGAACGUGCCGAGUAGUGGGGGAUAACGCAGCGAAAGUUGUGCUAAUACCGCAUACGUACUGAGGUAGAAAGUGGGGGACCUUCGGGCCUCACGCUAUUCGAGCGGCCGACGUCUGAUUAGCUAGUAGGUGAGGUAAAGGCUCACCUAGGCGACGAUCAGUAGCGGGUCUGAGAGGAUGAAGAGCCACACUGGGGCUGAGGCACGGCCCAGACUCCUGCGGGAGGCAGCAGUGGGGAAUUUUGGACAAUGGGCGAAAGCCUGAUCCAGCCAUGCCGCGUGUCUGAAGAAGGCCUUCGGUUGUAAAGGACUUUUGUCAGGGAGGAAAUCCCUAGUGCUAAUAACACUGGGGGAUGACAGUACCUGAAGAAUAAGCACCGGCUAACUACGUGCCAGCCGCCGCGGUAA
RNAcentral lists this ribosomal RNA (499 nucleotides) under uncultured bacterium. RNAcentral's name for it is "partial 16S ribosomal RNA". It matches the Rfam family "Bacterial small subunit ribosomal RNA", at positions 30 to 523 of the family's 1533-position model. The record is from RNAcentral.